This 253-nucleotide ribosomal RNA is filed under the name uncultured bacterium. RNAcentral describes it as "partial 16S ribosomal RNA". It matches the Rfam family "Bacterial small subunit ribosomal RNA", at positions 524 to 776 of the family's 1533-position model. The record is from RNAcentral.
UACGAAGGGGGCUAGCGUUGUUCGGAUUUACUGGGCGUAAAGCGCACGUAGGCGGAUCGUUAAGUCGAGGGUGAAAUCCUGGAGCUCAACUCCAGAACUGCCUUCGAUACUGGCGAUCUAGAGUCCGGAAGAGGUGAGUGGAACUCCUAGUGUAGAGGUGGAAUUCGUAGAUAUUAGGAAGAACACCAGUGGCGAAGGCGGCUCACUGGUCCGGUACUGACGCUGAGGCGCGAAAGCGUGGGGAGCAAACAGG